This 623-nucleotide ribosomal RNA is filed under the name uncultured bacterium. RNAcentral's name for it is "bacterial SSU rRNA". It matches the Rfam family "Bacterial small subunit ribosomal RNA", at positions 338 to 954 of the family's 1533-position model. The record is from RNAcentral.
CCUACGGGAGGCAGCAGUGGGGAAUUUUGGACAAUGGGGGCAACCCUGAUCCAGCCAUUCCGCGUGAGUGAAGAAGGCCUUCGGGUUGUAAAGCUCUUUCGCAAGGGAAGAAAACUUAUGAUCGAAUAAAUCAUGAGGUUGACGGUACCUUGAUAAGAAGCACCGGCUAACUACGUGCCAGCAGCCGCGGUAAUACGUAGGGUGCGAGCGUUAAUCGGAAUUACUGGGCGUAAAGCGUGCGCAGGCGGUUUUGUAAGUCGGAUGUGAAAUCCCCGGGCUCAACCUGGGAACUGCGUUCGAAACUGCAAGGCUAGAGUGUGUCAGAGGGGGGUAGAAUUCCACGUGUAGCAGUGAAAUGCGUAGAGAUGUGGAGGAAUACCAAUGGCGAAGGCAGCCCCCUGGGAUAACACUGACGCUCAUGCACGAAAGCGUGGGGAGCAAACAGGAUUAGAUACCCUGGUAGUCCACGCCCUAAACGAUGUCAACUAGUUGUUGGUAGAGUAAAACUCUAUGAGUAACGUAGUACUACGCGUGAGUAGACCGCCGUGGAGGUACGGUCGCGAGAGUAAACUACGAAGAAGUAGACGCGUGAGACGUGCGACGGACGACGACGAGGGAGGAGG